GACAGAGGUGCCGAGCGUUAGGCGGAAUCACUGGGCUUAAAGCGUGUGUAGGCGGAUGGGUAAGUACCUUGUGAAAUCCCACGGCUCAACCGUGGAACUGCUCGGUAUACUGCUCGUCUUGAGCCAACUAGGGGCGACCGGAACAAACGGUGGAGCGGUGAAAUGCGUAGAUAUCGGAAGGAACACCGGUGGCGAAAGCGGCGCGCUGGACCUCUUCUGACGCUGAGGCGCGAAAGCCAGGGGAGCGAACGGG
Molecule: ribosomal RNA, 253 nt
Filed under: uncultured bacterium
Lineage: Bacteria
Description: partial 16S ribosomal RNA
Rfam family: Bacterial small subunit ribosomal RNA
Source: RNAcentral